RNAcentral lists this ribosomal RNA (119 nucleotides) under Aegilops tauschii subsp. strangulata. Lineage: Eukaryota; Viridiplantae; Streptophyta; Magnoliopsida; Poales; Poaceae. The record is from RNAcentral.
GGAAGCGAUCAUACCAGCACUAAAGCACCGGAUCCCAUCAGAACUCCGAAGUGAAGCGUGCUUGGGUGAGAGUAGUACUAGGAUGGGUGACCUCCUGGGAAGUCCUCGUGUUGAAUUCC